Molecule: ribosomal RNA, 429 nt
Filed under: Gemmatimonadota bacterium
Lineage: Bacteria; Pseudomonadati; Gemmatimonadota
Description: Gemmatimonadetes bacterium partial 16S ribosomal RNA
Rfam family: Bacterial small subunit ribosomal RNA
Source: RNAcentral
UAGGGAAUCUUCGGCAAUGGACGAAAGUCUGACCGAGCAACGCCGCGUGAGUGAAGAAGGUUUUCGGAUCGUAAAACUCUGUUGUUAGAGAAGAACAAGGACGUUAGUAACUGAACGUCCCCUGACGGUAUCUAACCAGAAAGCCACGGCUAACUACGUGCCAGCAGCCGCGGUAAUACUUAGGUGGCAAGCGUUGUCCGGAUUUAUUGGGCGUAAAGCGAGCGCAGGCGGUUUCUUAAGUCUGAUGUGAAAGCCCCCGGCUCAACCGGGGAGGGUCAUUGGAUACUGGGAGACGUGAGUGCAGAAGAGGAGAGUGGAAUUCCAGGUGUAGCGGUGAAAUGCGUAGAUAUAUGGAGGAACACCAGUGGCGAAGGCGGCUCGCUGGUCUGUAACUGACGCUGAGGCUCGAAAGCAUGGGGAGCAAACAGG